GCUAAGCAUAUCAAUAAGCGGAGGAAAAGAAACCAACAGGGAUUGCCCUAGUAACGGCGAGUGAAGCGGCAACAGCUCAAAUUUGAAAUCUGGCCUUCGGGUCCGAGUUGUAAUUUGUAGAGGAUGCUUUUGGCGCGGUGCCUUCCGAGUUCCCUGGAACGGGACGCCUUAGAGGGUGAGAGCCCCGUACGGUUGGACACCAAGCCUCUGUAAAGCUCCUUCGACGAGUCGAGUAGUUUGGGAAUGCUGCUCUAAAUGGGAGGUAAAUUUCUUCUAAAGCUAAAUAUUGGCCAGAGACCGAUAGCGCACAAGUAGAGUGAUCGAAAGAUGAAAAGCACUUUGAAAAGAGGGUUAAAUAGCACGUGAAAUUGUUGAAAGGGAAGCGUUUGCGACCAGACUUUUUCCUAGCGGAUCAUCCGGUGUUUUCACCGGUGCACUUUGCUAGGUUAAGGCCAGCAUCGGUUUCUGUAGGGGGAUAAAAGCUUGGGGAAUGUAGCUCCCUCGGGAGUGUUAUAGCCUCUUGCAUAAUACCCUUACGGGGACCGAGGACCGCGCUUUUGCAAGGAUGCUGGCGUAAUGGUUGUCAACGACCCGUCUUGAAACACGGACCAAGGAGUCGAACAUUUGUGCGAGUGUUUGGGUGUUAAACCCUCACGCGUAAUGAAAGUGAACGGAGGUGAGAGCCCUUACGGGUGCAUCAUCGACCGAUCCUGAUGUCUUCGGAUGGAUUUGAGUAAGAGCAUAACUGUUCGGACCCGAAAGAUGGUGAACUAUGCGUGGAUAGGGUGAAGCCAGAGGAAACUCUGGUGGAGGCUCGCAGCGGUUCUGACGUGCAAAUCGAUCGUCAAAUCUGCGCAUGGGGGCGAAAGACUUAUCGAACCAUCUAGUAGCUGGUUACCGCCGAAGUCUU
RNAcentral lists this ribosomal RNA (910 nucleotides) under Xylaria sp. RNAcentral describes it as "partial large subunit ribosomal RNA". It matches the Rfam family "Eukaryotic large subunit ribosomal RNA", at positions 33 to 970 of the family's 3401-position model. Lineage: Eukaryota; Fungi; Ascomycota; Sordariomycetes; Xylariales; Xylariaceae. The record is from RNAcentral.